This 354-nucleotide ribosomal RNA is filed under the name Triticum aestivum (bread wheat). RNAcentral describes it as "partial small subunit ribosomal RNA". The record is from RNAcentral. Lineage: Eukaryota; Viridiplantae; Streptophyta; Magnoliopsida; Poales; Poaceae.
UUGGGGACUAAACUGCUUUUUAGUACUACUUGUCACCCCCAAACUGAUGGACAAACUGAAGUAGUCAAUAGAACGUUGUCUACUAUGCUUAGGGCUGUUUUGAAGAAUAAUAAGAAAAUGUGGGAGGAAUGCUUGCCUCAUAUUGAAUUUGCUUAUGAUCGUUCAUUGCAUUCUACUACUAAGAUGUGCCCUUUUGAAGUUGUGUAUGGUUUCCUACCUCGUGCACCUAUUGAUUUGUUGCCUCUUCCAUCUUCGGAGAAGGUUAAUUUUGAUGCUAAACAACGUGCUGAAUUGAUUUUAAAAAUGCAUGAGUUAACUAAGGAAAACAUUGAGCGCAUGAAUGCUAAAUAUAAA